AUCUACAAAGUCAAUGACUAGAAUAAGUGAAAAAUUUCAGUAUUGUGAUAUUAAAUAACACAGAAAUCAAACAUAUAUAUAUAUGCAUUGGCAGUAAACAAUCAAAAUCAUUAGAAAAAGUUUUGAAUCAGGUCUAGUGACAAAUGCCUUUAAUUUCAGAAUAAAGGACAUAGGUGGAUCUGUUUGAGUUUGAGAAUAGGCUAGCUAUAGUUACACAGUGAGACCCUGUUUCAAAGCAAACAAACACACUUUUAUGUGAAUAAUGAUAUUAGACAAUAAACUACUAAAUUUAACUAGAGCGUGUCCAAGACAUCUACAUGGAAAGCACUGUGCAUAGACUUUUAGAAACCCUACGGAAAUCAGAAUGCACCAUGUCUGUGAAACAUAAAGUCAACUGUUAACUUAUUGGUUCUUCCCGAAUUUACUUAUUCCUCAAAGGAACUGACAUGGGAUUUCUCAAUUCAUAUAAAAAGUAGAGCAGGAGCAAUGCAGGGUUGACAAAACUAAAAGACCUGACGGUCUUUCUACAACUAGGACUAAGCCCGGGAAUAAAUACCCUGAAAAGAGUGACCUUUGACCUCUCAUCCCACACAACAGUUAAUUUGAGAUGAGUUAUGACUGGAAAUCUAAAGUAAGAUCAUAACACUCCAUACAAAAUAAAUAGCAAUAUUUUAAAGUGACUUUGGAGUUUUGAGAAUCUUGAGAUGGCAUAUACAGCUCUCAGCUCAUAAGAAAAAUAACAAAUUGAGCUGCAUCAAAAUAAAAGGGCCGUUCAUCAGGAGUCAUUGCUGAAAAUGGGCCAGCUAUGGGUGAAUGCCUGUAACCCUAACACUCACAGGAGGCUGUGGAAGGAGGCUCAUCAGGAAUGCCAGGCCUGCAGAAGCUACAUAAUGUGUUCCAUGUCAGCCCAAGCAACGGAGUGAGUGAGACACUGUCUCAGAACACACAAAAUACACAAAUAGAUGCCCAAGUGUAAGAGCAGGCUGGGGCAAUGAGUCAGUGCAUUCGUUUGGUAAGACUUUCAAUCUAGAAGAGAUAAAUAACAGCUACAGAAACAACAAAGCUAGGAGGCUCACAGCUCCCUUUCUCACAGCAGACACCCUGACCAGCCCCUCACCCUCUGCUGUCAUUCCUUCCCUGUCACCUGCACCCUCUGACUCUGAGGCAAAACCAACCUUUCAUGCCUUAAAAACAAAUGGAUAAAAGUAAACAUGCAAUUUUUAAAAGGGGAGAAGACAAACAGUUUAUAGAAGAAGAUAUAGCCAAUGAAGGCAGGAAAAGCUAUUCUGCAUAAUUAAUUACAAGAAAAGUACAAAUUAAAACCACAAUGGGAUCCCAUUUCACAUUUGUUACAAUGGCAUAGAAAUGAAGUGUUGGCAAGCUUGGGGCCAACUAGCAGAAAUGGGAAACAGUAAAUAAUUUCCUGGCAGUUUAUCCUAUAAUACAGCAGUUUCACUCCAAGUGCCUCUCUAAAAUAAAUGAAAAUUUCUGUCUAAAAAUAGAUGGAUAUAAGAAUAUCAUAGAAGUCCUAGUAAUAAUAGACAAAACUUGAAAUAGUUGGAAAAUGGAUAAAGUAUGCAUACUACAAGAUACUCCCCAAAGAAAAAUGCUUUAAAAUCUACUUAAUUAAAAAUAAAAGCAAUAAAAUUUUAAAAUGAAAAGCCAACCAACUUACAAAACGACUUUUUCUGAACAUUUUCCUCAGGAGCCCUGAGGAAUGUGUGGUGUUCUCAGGUCAUGAUUAAUUCAAAGAUGUUGUUGGUCAAAAAGAAAGAAAGAAAGAAAGAAAGAAAGAAAGAAAGAAAGAAAGAAAGAAAGAAAGAAAGAGAGAGAGGGGGGGGAGGGGACGGGAGGGGAGGGGAGGGGGGAGGGGAGGGGAGAGAAGGGGAGGGAAGGGGAGGGGAUGAGGGGAGGGCAGGAGAGGAGAGAAGGGGAGGAGAGGGGAGGGGAGGGGAGGGGAAGGGAGGGGAGGGGAGGGGAGGGGAGGAGAGGAGAGAAACAAAACAAAAAUCAGGAAGGGAGAAAAUUAGGAAGGGAGAAAAAGCUGUCAUUGGUUGCUUUUGAGUAACUGGGCAGCACCUGCAGUAGGUGGCUCCAGAGGACAGUGCACACUCACAGCAUUUCAGACUGCUUUGCCAUCACUAAAAUGAUUGUUCCUCUCUAUGGGGCUUUACAAUUACCUGAUGCAUGUGCUAGUCUCUUAUGUAGUUAGUAGGGAUAAUAAAAACAAGCACACUCGAAGUAAAAAUGUAAAUGAGAAAUUCUGGGAGGGGCAUGAGAAAGGAAUUCUGGGAGGGACAUGGACUAUCAGGAAAGAGGAGUUAUAAAUCACAUUCAAUUUAUUCACCGUGCUCAUCUCACCAAAUCCAAAUGGCUGUCUUAGAGAUUCAGCUCACUAUUGUUGGUGGUUUUAGCUUUGUCCAAUCAGGAGAGCCCUUUGGUAGCUUCUGUUCCUGCUUAUGGUCAGAAUGUUAACUUACUUUCAUUACAAGAAUGCUGAUUAAAGUUAAAUUUUGAUUUCUUCUUGUUUAAAACAAAGAAAGAAAGUAAAAGGGGGGGAAGGAGCUGGCUGUCCUCAUGAUUAACUUAGUAGAAAACCCAUUCUGUGCCGGAGAAAGCCUCCAUCAUCAGCGAAGCAACAUGCUCCUCAUGUCUGAGACAUAGACGGCCAGGCCAGCAGGGCAUGGCUUAUCCCUGCCUCCUUUAUAAACCAUCAGCUAGAUGUGUUCGUCUGUUUACUUUGGCAGUGUUGGAAACCGACCCGCCUUGCACAGACUAGGCAACGUGCUUCACUGCUGAGCUCAAGGGCAGGCCCUAGCUGGGCAGAUGAGCAACACUGGGGAACUGACUUGAGGAAGGCACAUGUGGUGGAUAUAUGACUGGCUCUUCUGAGCUAAAGAUUGGUAAAUAACUAAGAACCAACAGUGCAAAUGAGAAGGAUGGGGUGCCUGUGUCAUCUGCCUAAGUUUCAUAUACCUGUUUUCAUCCCAGGAUUCUAUAAGUCCACUAUAACAAAUACCCUGCAUUUCCUUCAUCUAUAGACUCUGUCUAAACCAAAGAGACAGUAGAUAAAUCAUAAUGGUAGGUGGGUAGUCAUAUGUAGCAUACAAACAAAUAAACAUUUCACUGAAUACUCUGGAAACAGUUAAUUAAUUGCCAUUCCAAAAUGAUCCUUUGGGAAGCAACUUAGCUUUUUAAUAGACUAAGCCAGAGGUCAUGUUUCAGGAAGCACACCAGAUGUGCUAUGUAAUUGUACUCCAAACAAUAUCUACAAAGUGCUUUAACUAAAUACAUGAUCUCAGUUCUCCUCACAAUACCCUGAAAUGGGUAUGAGGGUAGACAGCCUUUAGACCAAGGCUUCCAGAUUCUGUGAACACUCUCUGUGCUAACCAGUCUCUAUCAUACUAUCAGGGAGCAGAGCCACACCUAGGCCUUGUGUCUGCCAACUCUCAGCCUAGCACAAUUUCCCUAGGCCAAAGUUCCUAAGUCACCAUGGGAGAUUUGAGAAAAUGGAAUUUCAGAGCCACCAUUCUCUAACUGGAAUGUAAGUUUCUCCCUAUAAGGAUGCUCUUCCUUGCCCAGCUUAGCACAUCCUAGAAGUCUGUUGCAUGCUAUGAAGUUCAUGCCCUUUACUGUGGUCUGAAAUGCUGCCCACCUUGGCACCCCCACACUGAAGAUGCAAGCACACUUGCAGAAAGCAUCGAGAACUGAAAUGACAGCAGGGAUUAGAAGUGUUACACCAAGGCAUCUCCUGAUUUCAGGGUUAUGAGAGCAUUACUGUAGACAGCACUGUUCUGUUUUUCUAUUAGAAACUGUCUUCUUUGGAAAAGAUUAACAAGAAGAACCAAAAGGGAACUCCCUAAGGUCAGCUCUGAGGAAACAUAGACUCUAAUUCAAUAACUCUGCUACUGCCCUGGAAAAGGCUUUAGUACUGCAACAUCCAUAUGGAGCCAAUUGGACAUUAAUGGCUAAUCAAUCCCUCUGCUUUCUAUUCUACUUAAAGUGUCACAAACCAUGUUUAGAUUAGCCCAUUUCCUGCUAAGGAUUGCUCAAGAUGUCUUUUGUUCUUUUAGGCCCCGCCUGACGGAGGCAGCUUUAAACAAACACAGAGCAGAGUGGUGUAGGAGUUAUAACGUGCCACAAGUGAGGACAAAGGGGCCACACUAAAGCCCUUUGUGGUAUUUGUUAAUGUUUCUCAUCUGAGUUUGAAAAGGCUUAAUGACUUUGUGGUGAGCUGGUGCAUGUGGCCCAUGGCUUUACAAAAUGAAGGGAGUUCUCACCAGAGGCCCUGCAGUCUCCUGCUCUCGGUUUUGGUUUAAUUUUUUUUUUUAAUUCUCAUUAUAUUUACUUUGUACAGAUAGCUGAACAGAGUCCUUCAGCUUGUUUCAGCUACAGAUUCCCGCAGCAGCUGGGAUGGCUUCUGAGUUCCUGUAUUUUAAUGAUCUGAAAGUGGCACAAAGCACGGAGUAUUCCACUUAAUCUGUAUGUGAGAUGUAGCUCGGGAGGGCUCAUGUGCCGGUGUGGCCAGGUGAAAAGCAACGUUUAAGUCUGCACUGGAGACCUCUGGGGAUGAAAUAAGACAAUAACAGGUUUUGUCUUCUGAGGAUGUCAGGGGAACCAGCCUGGUACGAGCAGAGGCCCAUGGAGGACACAGAGGCUGCUGAAAGCUGGUAGACUAAAUAAUUCACGCGCGCAGCAGCUCCUGGCUUCACCUAGCCCUUGUUCCUACCACAGACUCUAUAUGAAAUGAAGCAUAAACCAAGGCAAAGAAACACUUACAAACAAGACAUUACUUGCUGAUUGUCUCAGCCCCUCCAGGUCCCUGCCAGAGCACUUUAAAAUCUAGCCUUCUGAUUCAGAUUUACUUUCCAGGUUUGAAUGCUUUAACCUGCACAGAAAUUCCACUCUCUCAUUUCAGGCGGAGUGGAGCAUCACACAUUCACUCUGUCCAGGCCACUUCUCUAUCCAAGCCCCUCCAAUGUCCUGCCCUGUCCCUGUGCCUAUAGAUGAAUCUCAACCUCCAGAGCAGCAGGCUAGCUUCUCUGUACAGCUCCAGCGCUGUCUCUUGUUGCCCUACUGGAAGCAUUGGUUUUUUUGAACACUGCACUACCUGGUUCCUACACACUGUUUUCAUGCUACAAAUCCCAGUUCUCUACUUUCCUACAAAGGCAUCUCCAUCUUGCAAUCACUCCUUGAACACAGAUUAAAGGACUGUUACUCUUUUGGAAGACUGGCAGAACUCUGGGUUCCAGUAGGAGGUAUCCUGUGUCUUACGCCUACCUCUAACCUGACGUUCAACCUCAUUUGUUCACAUCACCAAUUCCAUGUGCCCACUUACUCCAAAUGCAGUGAGUGCAUGGUGUCCUAGCCAUAGCUCACCCCAGGGUCCAGCAAAACCAGCUAUGCCAGAAAUGCUGAAACACAGAGGGCACAGUGGAGAACAGAGCUAUCUUUCACAGGAGGGAUUUUAGAGACAAGUCUGUGUGUUUCCCUGGCAUCUGAGCGUUUCUGCAGUUAGACUCUAACAGGAUUUGCAAUCAGCGCAGUCUUGAACAGAUGCCAGGAACGAAGCUGGAGUCAGCAGAAGGCUGCUGCCCAUCUCAGAAGUCCUCACAAAGGCACUGCACUGCUGUCCAUAUUAGUUCAGGCUGGUGUCCACUGUGGGCCAGCGGGCCCUGGAUACUGCACAUCCAUCUCACCUGCAAGCAAAGUUUAACAGAAGGGCUGCUACUCUCUUUCAAAGAAAGAUCUUGUGUAUUUUACUGCAGCCUUCUCCCAGGAGGAAAGAAGCACCAUAAAGCUAAAGGAUAUCACAAAUGGGUUUGUAAUGAAAAUCACAAAUAACUUUGAAUUACAUCUGAUUAGAAAAGGAGCUU
Long non-coding RNA from Mus musculus (house mouse), 5876 nucleotides. RefSeq annotates it as predicted gene, 51455. The record is from RefSeq and is a predicted model, not a curated record. NCBI's taxonomy places the organism in Eukaryota, Metazoa, Chordata, Mammalia, Rodentia, Muridae. The transcript has 3 exons.